This 965-nucleotide long non-coding RNA is filed under the name Homo sapiens (human). RNAcentral's name for it is "non-protein coding lnc-PCNX1-2:2". Lineage: Eukaryota; Metazoa; Chordata; Mammalia; Primates; Hominidae. The record is from RNAcentral.
CCGGCCUCAUUGGGUGCGUGAGAAGGGAAGGGUGGAUCCUAAAAGGUAAUACUGAGCCUUCAUUCAAACUAAAAGGCUGGAAGGGAGGCAGCUGCCUUUGUUUGCCAUGGAUGGGUAGGGGCUGCACUGAGCAGCACCGGUGUUCUUCAUCCGGCUGCACCCCCAACAGAGCUCUUUCUUCCCCAGAUCCCUUUUACAGUUGGAUUCUCCCUCUUGGAUCUGGCUCUGCCUUAGUCCGACCUAGAGGGAUCAGCUUCGCCCACGCCCACUCUCACCCGGAACCUUUCAUCUCUUAUUGAAGCCUUUUAGGCCCAUUGGGAUGUUCAUUAGAACUCUGAAAACUACAGUUCUCCCCUUUAUGAGGACUGCACCACAGCUCGCCCUCUCCUGGGUUCCGGUAAGAAGAGAUUCCAAUACCACUCUUUUUUCAGAAUUCAGAAAGGCAAGAGACCACCUUACUGAGCUUCAAACUGGGGCUGGGAACGCUGCCAUGAAUUGGGCUUGGUCUGUCUGAAGGGAGCCACCUUUUCGACAAUCCUUAGACUUCUUUUGCCUGUUGGAAUUACACCUUGGAUCGUGGCGAAGUCUAUAGAGGUCAGAUUAAGAAGAACCAAAGCAGAAUAAACGUAGAACCCGAUGCUGAGUUCACGAGUGAGGACGACCUCUUCCUAUAUGCUUUGCUAUACCCUGCGUUUUGAACAUUAAGGACGAGAUAGGAGGCCCAUAAUGUUUCUUCUUGCUUUAAUCCUGUCGUGGCAACGUUGACUUCCACCUGGUUGCAGAGUGAGCCCAUGGGACAGCCCUCUGAAAUUAUACUGCUUACAACCAUGCUGAGUCUGCAAGGACUUCGUCCAAGCCUUUCCGUCCAGGACCUCAAACAGAUCCAAUCACAAGAAGAGAGAUUUCAGGAAAGAGAAAAUUAUUCCUAUCAUCGGGGUUUUUGAAGAACAUGAAAUGACUGGGAA